GGCUGGGUCCUGCGCGGCAGGGCCUCUGAACCUGGUCAGGACCGAGAGGUAGCAGCCAUAAGGAGCAUCCCCUGGGUGUCGUAGGUUAGCCUGGUCUGA
This 99-nucleotide signal recognition particle RNA is filed under the name Chloroflexota bacterium. RNAcentral describes it as "Chloroflexi bacterium signal recognition particle sRNA small type". It matches the Rfam family "Bacterial small signal recognition particle RNA". From Rfam's summary of the family: The signal recognition particle (SRP) is a universally conserved ribonucleoprotein involved in the co-translational targeting of proteins to membranes. Archaeal SRP consists of a 7S RNA and homologues of the eukaryotic SRP19 and SRP54 proteins. In most bacteria, the SRP consists of a 4.5S RNA and the Ffh protein (a homologue of the eukaryotic SRP54 protein). Lineage: Bacteria; Bacillati; Chloroflexota. The record is from RNAcentral.